GAUGAACGCUGGCGGCGUGCCUAAUACAUGCAAGUCGAGCGAACGGACGAGAAGCUUGCUUCUCUGAUGUUAGCGGCGGACGGGUGAGUAACACGUGGAUAACCUACCUAUAAGACUGGGAUAACUUCGGGAAACCGGAGCUAGUACCGGAUAAUAUUUUGAACCGCAUGGUUCAAAAGUGAAAGACGGUCUUGCUGUCACUUAUAGAUGGAUCCGCGCUGCAUUAGCUAGUUGGUAAGGUAACGGCUUACCAAGGCAACGAUGCAUAGCCGACCUGAGAGGGUGAUCGGCCACACUGGAACUGAGACACGGUCCAGACUCCUACGGGAGGCAGCAGUAGGGAAUCUUCCGCAAUGGGCGAAAGCCUGACGGAGCAACGCCGCGUGAGUGAUGAAGGUCUUCGGAUCGUAAAACUCUGUUAUUAGGGAAGGACAUAUGUGUAAGUAACUGUGCACAUCUUGACGGUACCUAAUCAGAAAGCCACGGCUAACUACGUG
RNAcentral lists this ribosomal RNA (497 nucleotides) under uncultured bacterium. RNAcentral describes it as "partial 16S ribosomal RNA". It matches the Rfam family "Bacterial small subunit ribosomal RNA", at positions 28 to 507 of the family's 1533-position model. The record is from RNAcentral.